RNAcentral lists this long non-coding RNA (205 nucleotides) under Amborella trichopoda. RNAcentral describes it as "long non-coding RNA (ATRI_LNC002671)". Lineage: Eukaryota; Viridiplantae; Streptophyta; Magnoliopsida; Amborellales; Amborellaceae. The record is from RNAcentral.
UUUUUAGGAAUUCAAUAAAAAAUGAGGGUACUCCAUUAGGAAUUUUCAUGUUUUUGAAUGAAUAUGCGAAUAUUGAUAUGUUCUUUCCCUGCAUGAACCGCCAUUCAGCAUUUAAUUUACAGUAUUUCGUGCUCAUCCCUACACUGUUGCUGUUGGGACUCGACAUGUGAAUAAUAUGGCUGGGAUAGGGUGGCCUCAGAAUCAU